UACGUAGGUGGCAAGCGUUAUCCGGAAUUAUUGGGCGUAAAGAGCGCGCAGGUGGUUAAUUAAGUCUGAUGUGAAAGCCCACGGCUUAACCGUGGAGGGUCAUUGGAAACUGGUUGACUUGAGUGCAGAAGAGGGAAGUGGAAUUCCAUGUGUAGCGGUGAAAUGCGUAGAGAUAUGGAGGAACCCCAGUGGCGAAGGCGGCUUCCUGGUCUGCAACUGACACUGAGGCGCGAAAGCGUGGGGAGCAAACAGG
This 253-nucleotide ribosomal RNA is filed under the name uncultured bacterium. Its description in RNAcentral is "partial 16S ribosomal RNA". It matches the Rfam family "Bacterial small subunit ribosomal RNA", at positions 524 to 776 of the family's 1533-position model. The record is from RNAcentral.